Molecule: unclassified non-coding RNA, 277 nt
Filed under: uncultured fungus
Lineage: Eukaryota; Fungi
Description: partial contains 5.8S ribosomal RNA, internal transcribed spacer 2, and large subunit ribosomal RNA
Source: RNAcentral
AACGCACCUUGCACCCUUUGGUAUUCCGAAGGGUAUGCCCGUUUGAGUGUCAUUGUAAUCUCACACCAACAUUUAUUUGUUGGAGGUGGACUUGGAGGUUGCUAUUGAAAAACAGCUCUUCUUAAAUGUAUUAGUGCGGCUCUGGUUGGACUUAAGCCCGAUGUAAUAAAAUUUCAUCGUGGUGUCUAAUCAAAUCGAGUCUGUGCUUCUAACCGUCUUCGGACAAACUACUUGACAACUUGGCCUCAAAUCGGGUAGGACUACCCGCUGAACUUAA